UCCUGGCUCAGAGCGAACGUUUGCGGCGGGCCUAACACAUGCAAGUCGAACGGGCUGUCCUUCGGGGCAGUCAGUGGCGCACGGGUGCGUAACACGUAGGUAAUCAACCCUUGGGUUCGGGAUAACACUGCGAAAGAGGUGCUAAUACCGGAUGCGACGGUCGGGACUUCGGUGCCGAUCGGGAAAGAUCCGCAAGGAUUGCCCGAGGACGAGCCUGCGGCCCAUCAGCUUGUUGGUGAGGUAAAAGCUCACCAAGGCUAAGACGGGUAGCUGGUCUGAGAGGAUGAUCAGCCACACUGGAACUGAGACACGGUCCAGACUCCUACGGGAGGCAGCAGUGGGGAAUAUUGCGCAAUGGACGAAAGUCUGACGCAGCCACGCCGCGUGAGCGAUGAAGGCCCUCGGGUCGUAAAGCUCUGUGGGGAGAGAAGAAUAAAGCCGGUGAAGAGCCGGCCCUGACGGUAUCUCCUUAGCAAGCACCGGCUAACUCCGUG
This 494-nucleotide ribosomal RNA is filed under the name uncultured bacterium. RNAcentral describes it as "bacterial SSU rRNA". It matches the Rfam family "Bacterial small subunit ribosomal RNA", at positions 17 to 507 of the family's 1533-position model. The record is from RNAcentral.